RNAcentral lists this ribosomal RNA (119 nucleotides) under Esox lucius (northern pike). Lineage: Eukaryota; Metazoa; Chordata; Actinopteri; Esociformes; Esocidae. The record is from RNAcentral.
GCUUACGGCCAUACCAGCCUGAAUACGCCCGAUCUCGUCCGAUCUCGGAAGCUAAGCAGGGUCGGGCCUGGUUAGUACUUGGAUGGGAGACCGCCUGGGAAUACCAGGUGCUGUAAUCU